UACGUAGGGGGCUAGCGUUGUCCGGAAUCAUUGGGCGUAAAGAGCUCGUAGGCGGCUUGUUGCGUCGGUUGUGAAAGCCCGGGGCUUAACCCCGGGUCUGCAGUCGAUACGGGCAGGCUAGAGUGUGGUAGGGGAGAUCGGAAUUCCUGGUGUAGCGGUGAAAUGCGCAGAUAUCAGGAGGAACACUGGUGGCGAAGGCGGAUCUCUGGGCCAUUACUGACGCUGAGGAGCGAAAGCGUGGGGAGCGAACAGG
This 253-nucleotide ribosomal RNA is filed under the name uncultured bacterium. RNAcentral describes it as "partial 16S ribosomal RNA". It matches the Rfam family "Bacterial small subunit ribosomal RNA", at positions 524 to 776 of the family's 1533-position model. The record is from RNAcentral.